AUCUUAUCAAGAGCAGGUGGAGGGACUAGCCCGAUGAAACCCGGCAACCGGCGACUUCGUCGUACGGUGCUAAUUCUUGCAGUUACCAUGCGAUCCAAGGCGAGGC
RNAcentral lists this non-coding RNA (106 nucleotides) under Saccharibacillus sacchari. RNAcentral describes it as "SAM-I sequence". It matches the Rfam family "SAM riboswitch aptamer (S box leader)". From Rfam's summary of the family: The SAM riboswitch is found upstream of a number of genes which code for proteins involved in methionine or cysteine biosynthesis in Gram-positive bacteria. The SAM riboswitch acts at the level of transcription termination control. The record is from RNAcentral. Lineage: Bacteria; Bacillati; Bacillota; Bacilli; Caryophanales; Paenibacillaceae. RNAcentral also lists the same sequence under 1 other name.